CACCGCCCGUCGCUCCUACCAAUUGAAUAAUCCGGUGAAUUGUUCGGAUCGCGGCGACGUGGGCGGUUCAAUGCCCACGACUUCGCGAGAAGUCUAUUGAACCUUAUCAUAUAUAGGAAGGAGAAGUCGUAACAAGGUUUCCGUAGGUGAACAUGCGGAAC
RNAcentral lists this non-coding RNA (161 nucleotides) under Solanum lycopersicum (tomato). Its description in RNAcentral is "Eukaryotic small subunit ribosomal RNA". It matches the Rfam family "Eukaryotic small subunit ribosomal RNA", at positions 1667 to 1823 of the family's 1831-position model. The record is from Rfam by way of RNAcentral. Lineage: Eukaryota; Viridiplantae; Streptophyta; Magnoliopsida; Solanales; Solanaceae.